RNAcentral lists this long non-coding RNA (301 nucleotides) under Rosa chinensis. Its description in RNAcentral is "sRNA RchiOBHm_Chr4g0429331". Lineage: Eukaryota; Viridiplantae; Streptophyta; Magnoliopsida; Rosales; Rosaceae. The record is from RNAcentral.
AUGUCACAUCCUCUCUCUCUCUCUCUCUCUCUCUCUCUCUCUCUCUCUCUCUAUUAUUUCAACUUAAUUCGAAGAAAGGCCGAUGAGCAGCACUAGCUUUGAUUCUUGCACUUGUCAUUCCCGAAGCUACAGCAAGGAAAAAUAAAAAGCUUUGCGGUGAAAGCAAAAUCUUUUCAAAAGGAAAAGAACAAAGAGAUCCAGUGAUCCACAUCUGGAAGUCACCAUCUUUAUAUGUACAUGCCUCAAAUCAUGGGACAAAACUUGUAAGUUAAGAAUAUCAUAGGACAUAACUUGCAGGAAG